RNAcentral lists this ribosomal RNA (786 nucleotides) under uncultured bacterium. Its description in RNAcentral is "bacterial SSU rRNA". It matches the Rfam family "Bacterial small subunit ribosomal RNA", at positions 8 to 796 of the family's 1533-position model. The record is from RNAcentral.
AGAGUUUGAUCCUGGCUCAGAACGAACGCUGGCGGCGUGCUUAACACAUGCAAGUCGAGUGCGCGGUUGUAGCAAUACAACUGGCGCACGGCGCACGGGUGCGUAACACGUGGGCAAUCUGCCCUUCGAUGGGGAAUAACUCCGGGAAACCGAAGCUAAUUCCGCAUAACAUUCCUUGGACCUCGGUUCGAGGACUCAAAGCCGUAAGGCGUCGAAGGAGGAGCCCGCGCACGAUUAGCUAGUUGGUAGGGUAACGGCCUACCAAGGCUUUGAUCGUUAGCUGGUCUGAGAGGAUGGCCAGCCACACUGGAACUGAGACACGGUCCAGACUCCUACGGGAGGCAGCAGUGGGGAAUCUUGCACAAUGGGCGAAAGCCUGAUGCAGCGACGCCGCGUGGGGGAUGAAGCAUUUCGGUGUGUAAACCCCUUUCGACCCGGACGAAUGCCUCGCAAGAGGAGUGACGGUACGGGUAUAAGAAGCCCCGGCUAACUACGUGCCAGCAGCCGCGGUAAGACGUAGGGGGCCAGCGUUGUUCGGAAUUACUGGGUGUAAAGGGUUCGUAGGCGGUGUGGCAAGUUGGGAGUGAAAUCUCUGGGCUCAACCCAGAGGCUGCUUCCAAAACUGCUGUGCUUGAGUGUGGGAGAGGCGCGUGGAAUUGCAGGUGUAGCGGUGAAAUGCGUAGAUAUCUGCAGGAACACCCGUGGCGAAAGCGGCGCGCUGGACCACAACUGACGCUGAGGAACGAAAGCUAGGGGAGCAAACAGGAUUAGAUACCCUAGUAGUCC